CCUCUCCCGCCCAGGAAACGGGAAGGGCUCUUCCGCCGGAAAAAGAGUGGAUUUACUACGAAGAUGGCACAUUGGAGGGCCCGUCGCCUGCAGUAAGGCCGGUCCUUGGCCACCCGGCGGAGCCGGUGACAGCAGCGCCCUGGAAGGCAGGCAGCCGUAUCAGGUUUCAGAGGAUGCGGCAGAGAACGGGAGUAGAGGUGAGGGGUUGUAUCUGUAGCGGCGUGUAUCUUUUGGGGGGGUCGGCGCCACCAGCGACGUGGGCCCCAUUCCUAGUUCAUUGCGCUUGCAUUUCUCCACCUCGUUUGAAGAACGAGCUUGGUAGCCAACGGAGCUGAGGUAUAUAAGCUCCCUGAAAUCACAAAGUAGUUAUUUCCACGUUCAGAUCAUUCAGAGAUUAUGAAGUCACACACCCUGCCUUCAAUUUGCUUAUCGUCGAAUAGAGCAGACACAAGUGAAUGAUUGCAGUAUAGCCACUUAAGUAAUCUAAAAGAGGGGCUGAAAGAUCCUAACGUGACAGGGGUGAGGAGGAAGACAAAGAACGUAUAUUCCCAAUGACAAAGUCCAGAGUGCAUAACAGAUGCCCUGCUAGACACUGUCAAAUACAGCUUCACCUGGAGAUGCAGCGUAAGAAGUUGGAUGGUUCUGGGAGAUUUUAACCCCUCAGGAAGCACUAGAUGCAAGCAGGAAGGGAUGGUUUAUGUGAGACCUGGACACAGGAAGGUGAAGAAAAAUGUCACUGCUUCUUGAGCACAGAUUUGGGCAAUAGGGCCUUUCCUUCCCAGUGACUAAGCCUGAUCAUUUGGGCAGCACCAUUCCUAGAUGAUGAAAAGAACCAUCCAGUGGACCUCAUAGCACAGUGAGGUUUCUCCUUGACCCAGCGAUUUUAAGAAUGUUUGCCAAGAUCUAUGAUUAAAGAUUUGCGGUGGGGACCGGCCGGGCUGUGGCGGGUCCUGUUUCUCUUUCACUUUACUUCACUCUGAGGCCAGCGCGCUGGCGGGUGAGGAGUGGCGGUGGUGGUGGCUGCUGGACGUGGGAAAGCACAACCACCAAAAGGAGUGCUGAUCAACGAUCUCAUGAUAAAUCUGGAUGCUAGUUCUCAUGCCUCAGGACGUCCUACUGGGAAUGCCACGCCAGCUCCUGGGAUCAGACUUUCAUCUACUUAGGACUUCUCUUUGCCUGAACUACUAAAGCCAGUCCUAGCUAGCCACGAAUGGCUACCCAAAGCAAACACUUGGUGAAAGAUUUUAAUCUUUUCAUUACCUGCUAUAUCUGUAAAGGGUAUCUGAUCAAGCCAACAACAAUGACGGAAUGCCUCCAUACAGUCUGUAAGACUUGUGUUGUUCAGCACUUUGAAGAUAGCAAUGAUUGCCCAAGGUGUGGCAACCAAGCUCAUGAGACAAAGCCAUUAGAAAUGUUGAGAUUGGACAGUACAUUAGAGGAAAUUAUGUUUAAGCUGGUCCCUGGACUACAAGAACAGGACUUGAGUGUGAAUCUGAAUUUUGGAAGAAAAGCCUCAAGAAAAUGGACAAGAUGUUACUUCAAAAGUUGAUAAACCGAAAGUAGAUGAAGAAGGCAAUGAAAAUCAAGAUUAUCAUAGAAGUGACCCACAAAUUGCUAUCUGUCUAGAUUGUUUAUGAAAUAAUGGACUGUUGGGGGACAGUGUAGUAAAGGGUUCAAUGAAGAAAUUCAUUCGAUGUUCUACACGUGUAACUGUUGAAACUAUUACAAAAUUUCUAAGUUUAAAACUAAAACUUCCAAGUUCUUAUGAGUUGGUUGUGCUGUGCAAUGGUGAAAUUAUGGGGAAGGAUCAUAAUUGGAAUUCAUCUACAUGACAAGAUGGUGACUAAGAGACGAAAACUUUCGGUGCUUGAACUGCUCAGCUUCGCAAGUCUGCUCUCAGGAGGGCCCUUUGUAUCAGUCAUACCCUGUGGUAGUGCAGUAUCGACCAAGAAUUGAUUCCAGUUAGACGAAGGGGCCCAGACCUCACUGAGAUGAAUCCUGCACUAUUUGUUUACUGGUCAACAGAUUACACAGUUAACGGUGUGUCAACUAGAGAACACAACCAGAUUUUCAGCAUGCAAAUAAGGCCAUUGUCUAUCUCUAAAUUGUCAAUUGCAUUCAUGUUGUUUCUAUUAAGAGCAAACCAAGUGCCAUUCUGCUACUGAACCAUCCACGUAAGGUAUCUGCGUUGUCUCAAAGUGUGCAAGUCAUGGUUAAAACCUGUUAGGUGUGCUGUCAUAAUUAAACCUUCUGAAUAUUUUGCUUGCCUGUUCCAAGAUCGUUCUAAUGUUUAAUUACACUAGUAAAAUGGCUCAAUUUUUGUGAUGUUGCAGAUUUCACAAACUUACUAUUUUAUUCUUGUUUAAAUAGCGUGCUGUACAAGAAACUAAUAAUUAUAUCUUGAAAUUAUUUCGUAUGGAAAUAUAUUUAGAAAAGUGGUUUUUGAGCCACUGUCUUGUUCUUGGUAUAAGCUUUUCAUGUGAAAAAAAGUUCAUUCUUGAGUGUGCAAGUCCUUUUGCGAAGAAUUCCAAUUAUUCUGUAACAUUAGACCCCAACAUAAUUGUAGACAUUCUAAGCAUCUGCCUGUGUAGUCUACCAGUUGCACAAGGAAGGCACGUUAGCCCUCCAGAUUGAAAAUGUAUGUGACCUCUUGAACUGAAGUUAGAUUCCCAACCAUUCAAAAUGUUGGCAGCUGAUCACAUUUACUUCCGAUAAAAUUAAUGUGUAAGUAAGGUUAAUUUUCUUUCAGGAUGCCUUGUGACAAGCAGGUGCUGCUUCAUGAAAUGUCAUUGUAUAGCCCAUUUCAUGUAUCAUUACACUGUUGCUGUUGUUUAACAAGUGCAUUAUUUCUCUUUUUAAAUUGGCCUUAUGUAUAUGUCGUUGUGGCAUGCAGAGGGUUAUGAUGAGUUUAAAUAUUAGGAUUUUUAGAGCACAUAACAUCAGAUAUUUUAUGGAUUUCAAAAGUCUCAAAACAGUUGUAGAUUAAAACUGUUAGUUACUGUUCACAUUUCCAAACUAUAUGCAUAAAAUAGAAUAAAUGCAGUAUAGAAGAUAACUAUGCUAACCAAAAUUAAUUGGUUAAGGGUAUUUUAUUUUAAAUCCUGUAGUAAUCAGGGAAAUGGGAUUAUUGUUUUUUAUAUGAGUUCAUUAAGAUUAGAAAUACAAGAUGUCUUGUAUUUUGCAGUUUUGUUAAGUCUUCCAUUCAUUUUAGGAUUAGUCUGUAAGUCAAAGAAGGUCUUGUUACCUUAAGUUAUACGAAAACUGUUAUUUUAAACCUUUUAAAAUUUACAGUUUUCAAAAAACUUAUUUGGAGAUUGCUUUGAAACAAGCUAAACUUUGAAACUUAUAAAAAAAUCUUGAAAGUUAGGAAAAAUAUUUGUUUUAGAAAUAUGACAUGAGCACAAUCUGUGUGUUACACACAUUUAGUUUUUAUACUGUAUAUGUGGUAAAUGUGCCACAUUCUCCAGUAAAAUGUAUCAGAAAUCAAUGCCCUCUGAAUUUCAAAAUGAUUCUUAGAAAUAAGAUAUCGUACAACCAUAGCAAACAUAUAAAAUACAGCUAAAUCUUAAUACAUAUCACUAUGUUUGAGUCAAAAAGUCUAUUAAAUUUUUCUGUUGUUCUAAAUUUGGUGAAAAAGGUUAUGGCAAUACUUUCUUAACUUUGUUUUGUUAGAUUGUUUUUAUACUUGGAAUGGCUCACAAGCAGAAUUUAAAAGGCAGAUUUUCGUUAACUAUAAAUGACUGAAAAAACUGAAUUUACUAUCUAGCUACAGAAAUUAUUUUUCUGUGCUGUGAAAGCCAGGUCUCAAACAUCCCUAAGAACUUUGAAAAAUUAUUAUAAAUUUGUCACAUCUAAGUCAGUGAUUGAAAUAGUGUUUUGCAAAUAGAAGUUAAUUUUAAGUAACUCAAAAUGAAUUAAGAGUAUAUUUUAAAAAUCGCUAGUGAGACUUUGAUGUUUUGACCUCCUGCCCCAGCCAAAACUUAAUGGCCAUAAAUGAAUUUUAUCUACAAAAUCCCUUUAAAUUUGAUCGGUUGCCUUGUCAUAUGUAAUUUCACUAUUUUCCAAGGAAAUAUAUAGGAAGCAAUUAUGAAACUGAGAAUAGUUUUAUAUAGAAUUCCUCUAUUUACUGAUAAUACAUUAACAUAUUUAUUGAAAUGCAGUGGAAUAUGUACCAAAACA
Molecule: RNA transcript, 4179 nt
Organism: Sapajus apella (tufted capuchin)
Lineage: Eukaryota; Metazoa; Chordata; Mammalia; Primates; Cebidae
Gene name: polycomb group RING finger protein 5 pseudogene
Exons: 3
Source: RefSeq, a predicted model, not a curated record